GAUGAACGCUGGCGGCGUGCCUAAUACAUGCAAGUCGAGCGAACGGACGAGAAGCUUGCUUCUCUGAUGUUAGCGGCGGACGGGUGAGUAACACAUGGAUAACCUACCUAUAAGACUGGGAUAACUUCGGGAAACCGGAGCUAAUACCGGAUGAUAUUUUGAACCGCAUGGUUCAAAAGUGAAAGACGGUCUUGCUGUCACUUAUAGAUGGAUCCGCGCUGCAUUAGCUAGUUGGUAAGGUAACGGCUUACCAAGGCAACGAUGCAUAGCCGACCUGAGAGGGUGAUCGGCCACACUGGAACUGAGACACGGUCCAGACUCCUACGGGAGGCAGCAGUAGGGAAUCUUCCGCAAUGGGCGAAAGCCUGACAGAGCAACGCCGCGUGAGUGAUGAAGGUCUUCGGAUCGUAAAACUCUGUUAUUAGGGAAGAACAUAUGUGUAAGUAACUGUGCACAUCUUGACGGUACCUAAUCAGAAAGCCACGGCUAACUACGUG
This 497-nucleotide ribosomal RNA is filed under the name uncultured bacterium. RNAcentral's name for it is "partial 16S ribosomal RNA". It matches the Rfam family "Bacterial small subunit ribosomal RNA", at positions 28 to 507 of the family's 1533-position model. The record is from RNAcentral.